CCUUGUAUGCCGCACUGGUGCUUCUUGCUAGCAGCUUGGGUAGUGAUUACAGUUCAGUUGCCGCGCGGUCUACCACCCCCGUCAGAGAGGAUGCCGACAGGGACAGAGAUGUUGCCUCCUCGACUACAACAACUUCAGGAUCCGGAGCAGCAGCCUCUUCUUCUGAUGAGGCAUCGCUCAGGUGUCCGCCCUCUACAAUAUCAUCCAUCACCUCCAGAAAAUGAUGGGAAUUAUCUUUACCGGCAUCACACUCGGGAUCUUUCUGUCCUCGAGUUGAAGACUCAGCCAAGUCAGAUGUCCCGGCAUGAGGCUGCCUGCCCUCACACCAUCCUACAUUCAAACAACAACACUUGAAUAAGAAAACUGACUUUUAAAUAUCUUAAAUAACUUCAUCACAACCAGCACAAUGUAUAAUAUGUUGACAAUAAAAAAUUGUAUUAUCUUUC
Long non-coding RNA from Scophthalmus maximus (turbot), 446 nucleotides. RefSeq lists it as uncharacterized. The transcript is spliced from 2 exons. The record is from RefSeq and is a predicted model, not a curated record. NCBI's taxonomy places the organism in Eukaryota, Metazoa, Chordata, Actinopteri, Pleuronectiformes, Scophthalmidae.